Molecule: non-coding RNA, 100 nt
Organism: Tribolium castaneum (red flour beetle)
Lineage: Eukaryota; Metazoa; Arthropoda; Insecta; Coleoptera; Tenebrionidae
Product: microRNA mir-1000
Exons: 1
Source: RefSeq, marked provisional
ACGGCUCGGCCAUGAUAUUGUCCUGUCACAGCAGUACUGGUUCCGAGUUACUGCUGCUUCGGGACAUGACCAUGGCCGGGCCUCUUGGCCGACGCCGCCC